GGAGGGCUGGCAGAACGGCUAUUGCACCGGUCUUGAAAACCGGCGCCGCGAAAGCGGCUUACAGGUUCGAAUCCUGUGCCCUCCG
This 85-nucleotide transfer RNA is filed under the name Gemmatimonadaceae bacterium. Its description in RNAcentral is "tRNA-Ser". It matches the Rfam family "tRNA". From Rfam's summary of the family: Transfer RNA (tRNA) molecules are approximately 80 nucleotides in length. Their secondary structure includes four short double-helical elements and three loops (D, anti-codon, and T loops). RNAcentral also lists the same sequence under 2 other names. Lineage: Bacteria; Pseudomonadati; Gemmatimonadota; Gemmatimonadia; Gemmatimonadales; Gemmatimonadaceae. The record is from RNAcentral.